UACAGAGGUCCCAAGCGUUGUUCGGAUUCAUUGGGCGUAAAGGGUGUGUAGGUGGCGCCGUAAGUCGGGUGUGAAAUUUCGGAGCUUAACUCCGAAACUGCAUUCGAUACUGCGGUGCUUGAGGACUGGAGAGGAGACUGGAAUUCAUGGUGUAGCAGUGAAAUGCGUAGAGAUCAUGAGGAAGACCAGUGGCGAAGGCGGGUCUCUGGACAGUUCCUAACACUGAGGCACGAAGGCCAGGGGAGCAAACGGG
This 253-nucleotide ribosomal RNA is filed under the name uncultured bacterium. RNAcentral's name for it is "partial 16S ribosomal RNA". It matches the Rfam family "Bacterial small subunit ribosomal RNA", at positions 524 to 776 of the family's 1533-position model. The record is from RNAcentral.